Molecule: ribosomal RNA, 252 nt
Filed under: uncultured bacterium
Lineage: Bacteria
Description: partial 16S ribosomal RNA
Rfam family: Bacterial small subunit ribosomal RNA
Source: RNAcentral
ACGAAGGGGGCUAGCGUUGUUCGGAAUUACUGGGCGUAAAGCGCGCGUAGGCGGUGAUCCAUGUCAGGGGUGAAAUCCCGGAGCUCAACUCCGGAAUUGCCUUUGAAACGGGAUCGCUAGAGUCCGAGAGAGGAUGGCGGAAUUCCUAGUGUAGAGGUGAAAUUCGUAGAUAUUAGGAAGAACACCAGUGGCGAAGGCGGCCAUCUGGCUCGGUACUGACGCUCAGGCGCGAAAGCGUGGGGAGCAAACAGG